RNAcentral lists this ribosomal RNA (433 nucleotides) under uncultured bacterium. RNAcentral's name for it is "partial 16S ribosomal RNA". It matches the Rfam family "Bacterial small subunit ribosomal RNA", at positions 29 to 507 of the family's 1533-position model. The record is from RNAcentral.
AACGAACGCUGGCGGCAUGCCUAACACAUGCAAGUCGAACGAGACCUUCGGGUCUAGUGGCGCACGGGUGCGUAACGCGUGGGAACCUGCCCUUAGGUUCGGAAUAACUCCCCGAAAGGGGUGCUAAUACCGGAUAAUGUCUUCGGACCAAAGAUUUAUCGCCUUUGGAUGGGCCCGCGUUGGAUUAGCUAGUUGGUAGGGUAAAAGCCUACCAAGGCGACGAUCCAUAGCUGGUCUGACAGGAUGAUCAGCCACACUGGGACUGAGACACGGCCCAGACUCCUACGGGAGGCAGCAGUGGGGAAUAUUGGACAAUGGGCGAAAGCCUGAUCCAGCAAUGCCGCGUGAGUGAUGAAGGCCUUAGGGUUGUAAAGCUCUUUUACCCGGGAUGAUAAUGACAGUACCGGGAGAAUAAGCUCCGGCUAACUCCGUG